AUGGAGGGCAGGAAGCUACCGGGCCUGGUGCUCCCAGUCUACUGGUGGGUGCGACGGACAGCACCCACCAGGAGCCAUGACGAUCAUCAACUGGAACUGCCGGGGCCUCGGACAGUUCAGGAACUCGUGUGCCUUGUGCGCACGUAUCGUCCUUCUCUAGUUUUCAUCUCUGAAACUAGGAAAAGUGAGGAGUAUAUCAAUAAACUGCGUAGGAGACUUGGUCUUAAGCACUGCAUUUCCCAUGUCUAAAAAGGGAAGGGUGCAGGUAUCGCUCUCUUCUAUGACGAGCAAGUUGAAAUAAAAAAGCUCGCUGUUGGCCCAAGUUAUAUUGAUGUGUUCAUUCGUCUCAAUCCCCAUGGCCGUCAAUGA
RNAcentral lists this ribosomal RNA (369 nucleotides) under Triticum aestivum (bread wheat). Its description in RNAcentral is "partial small subunit ribosomal RNA". Lineage: Eukaryota; Viridiplantae; Streptophyta; Magnoliopsida; Poales; Poaceae. The record is from RNAcentral.